This 346-nucleotide unclassified non-coding RNA is filed under the name uncultured bacterium. RNAcentral describes it as "contains 16S-23S intergenic spacer region". The record is from RNAcentral.
CGAAUCCAAGAAUUUCACCUCUAACGUCGCAAUACGAAUGCCCCCGUCCGUCUCUCUUAAUCAUUACCUCGAGUUCAGGAAACCAACAAAAUAGAACCGAGGCCCUAUUCCAUCAUUCCAUGCACGAAGAUUCAGGCAUUAGCCUGCUUUGAGCACUCUAAUUUUUUCAAAGUAAACGUGUCACUCUCCCAAUACACUCAGUCAAGAGCAUACUGAGAAAGGCGACUGAAUGUCCGAUUCGAACAGUACCACCAAAGCGGACCGCUCGACCGAGACCGAGAUCCAACUACGAGCUUUUUAACCGCAGCAACUUUAAUAUACGCUAUUGGAGCUGGAAUUACCGCUA